Molecule: ribosomal RNA, 494 nt
Filed under: uncultured bacterium
Lineage: Bacteria
Description: partial 16S ribosomal RNA
Rfam family: Bacterial small subunit ribosomal RNA
Source: RNAcentral
GACGAACGCUGGCGGCGUGCUUAACACAUGCAAGUCGAACGGAAAGGCCUUCUUUCCCUUGUGUAUUGCGGGUACUCGAGUGGCGAACGGGGGAGUACCACGGGAUUUAUCUGUCCCCAACUGGGGUAUAAGCCUGGGAAACUCUGUCUAAUUCCCGGUAGUACUGCAGGGUGGUGCCGGUGGUGGGAAACGGUGUUCUUGUGGUUGGGGAUGAGCUCGCGGCCUGUCAGCUUGGUGGUGGGGUAAUGGCCCACCAAGCCGGCGACGGGUAGCCGGCCGGAGAGGGUGGACGGUCAAACUGGGACUGGGAUCCGGCCCAGACUGCUAGGGGAGGCAGCAGUGGGGAAUAAUGCAGCAUGGGCGGAAUCCUGACGCAGCGACGCGGCGUGGGGGAUGACGGGCUUCGGGUGGUAAUCUGCUUUGGAAGGAGAGGAGCACGCCUGGUUGGAAGGGUGGUGACGGUAGUGGUAGAAGAAGCACCGGCUAACUACGUG